This 940-nucleotide ribosomal RNA is filed under the name uncultured bacterium. RNAcentral describes it as "bacterial SSU rRNA". It matches the Rfam family "Bacterial small subunit ribosomal RNA", at positions 1 to 924 of the family's 1533-position model. The record is from RNAcentral.
ACGAAUUCGCCCUUAGAGUUUGAUCCUGGUGUCUCGAUGAACGCUAGCUACAGGCUUAACACAUGCAAGUCGAGGGGCAGCAUGAACUUAGCUUGCUAAGUUUGAUGGCGACCGGCGCACGGGUGAGUAACACGUAUCCAACCUUCCGUUUACUCAGGGAUAGCCUUUCGAAAGAAAGAUUAAUACCUGAUAGUAUGGUGAGAUUGCAUGAUAGCACCAUUAAAGAUUUAUUGGUAAACGAUGGGGAUGCGUUCCAUUAGGUAGUAGGCGGGGUAACGGCCCACCUAGCCGACGAUGGAUAGGGGUUCUGAGAGGAAGGUCCCCCACAUUGGAACUGAGACACGGUCCAAACUCCUACGGGAGGCAGCAGUGAGGAAUAUUGGUCAAUGGGCGAGAGCCUGAACCAGCCAAGUAGCGUGAAGGAUGAAGGUCCUACGGAUUGUAAACUUCUUUUAUACGGGAAUAAAGUAUCCUACGUGUAGGAUUUUGUAUGUACCGUAUGAAUAAGCAUCGGCUAACUCCGUGCCAGCAGCCGCGGUAAUACGGAGGAUGCGAGCGUUAUCCGGAUUUAUUGGGUUUAAAGGGAGCGCAGACGGGAGAUUAAGUCAGUUGUGAAAGUUUGCGGCUCAACCGUAAAAUUGCAGUUGAUACUGGUUUCCUUGAGUGCAGUUGAGGCAGGCGGAAUUCGUGGUGUAGCGGUGAAAUGCUUAGAUAUCACGAAGAACCCCGAUUGCGAAGGCAGCUUGCUAAACUGUAACUGACGUUCAUGCUCGAAAGUGUGGGUAUCAAACAGGAUUAGAUACCCUGGUAGUCCACACGGUAAACGAUGGAUACUCGCUGUUGGCGAUAUACUGUCAGCGGCCAAGCGAAAGCAUUAAGUAUCCCACCUGGGGAGUACGCCGGCAACGGUGAAACUCAAAUGACAUUGACGGAAGGGCGA